Molecule: non-coding RNA, 282 nt
Organism: Rattus norvegicus (Norway rat)
Lineage: Eukaryota; Metazoa; Chordata; Mammalia; Rodentia; Muridae
Source: RefSeq, a predicted model, not a curated record
UGAGAAUUCCGGAAGUCAGGGAAAUGGAAACGCACAGGAGUAAUGAGCCGACUGGUAUAGUCUCUGAUAACAACGCUUGAGACUGAGCUGAGCAAGCUGGAGGUUCCAUCAGUUGACAUUUAAAACAUAGAGGGAAAGGGGAGCCACGGAAAGCUUUCAGCUAGAAGGCAAUAUGCCAAGUUUCGGGAGGCCUGGCUUGCUCCACUUGGCAGUGAUGAGCAGAAGAGUGCAAGAACAUCAAACCGAGUCAUGACAGUGCUCUAUAAAGCAGAAGUAAAUGUC